Molecule: long non-coding RNA, 727 nt
Organism: Magnolia sinica
Lineage: Eukaryota; Viridiplantae; Streptophyta; Magnoliopsida; Magnoliales; Magnoliaceae
Exons: 3
Source: RefSeq, a predicted model, not a curated record
UAUGGCAACAUUUAUGGCUGCCAUAACGAAUCCAAGCAUUAAUCUACCUAUAUUAUUAGGUGUUUCAGCUAAUCCCAACUUGAACUAACCCUCCUCAUCAUCAAGCCACUUGGUUCCAACCCCUCAGAGAGAUUUGGCGAAUAAAGGGAAUUCUAUGGGUUGCACUAAUGUGACUCAAGUUCUUCUUAAGAGUAUUGUAAGGCCUGGGGAUACUAUAGCUAAAGGAACCGUUUUGAGCAUGGAUCCGUUGACAAAAGUAGGGGGGCAAAAACUUGGAGUUGGUUUCUGGGAAGUAUCUAUUCAAGUGGUAAUGGUACGUGAUGAGGAUUUGAGAAGGAUCCAUGGACGAUAUAAAACAAUUGGGGAUGCAAUUGGAACGAGUAUUGCUUGGCCCACUACUUUAUGUAUGGUUGUAGACAGAAAUGGAUGUUGACUACAUGGGAGAAGUUUUUAUUAAGUACUUGGAACUAUAAACAUCUUUUAUAAGUAGGGGUAGUAGGGAUCCGUGGUUUUAGACUUUUGGAUUGAGUUAGACACAUCUAAACAGUUUAUUUUUAUCUUAGUUUAAUUAUAGAGGGCACAUCUAAACUCAUCUGAUCUCUUUAAUUUAAUCUUAGUUUUAUAAGAUUAUGAUUUGUGAUUUGAAUUCUGCAUUUGGAUGUCUUUAAUUUAAUCUCUUCUGUUUCUUUUCUUUUUACAUGUGGUCACUUGGUCAUCAUAUUUGUAG